This 465-nucleotide ribosomal RNA is filed under the name Vreelandella stevensii. Its description in RNAcentral is "partial 16S ribosomal RNA". It matches the Rfam family "Bacterial small subunit ribosomal RNA", at positions 338 to 795 of the family's 1533-position model. Lineage: Bacteria; Pseudomonadati; Pseudomonadota; Gammaproteobacteria; Oceanospirillales; Halomonadaceae. The record is from RNAcentral.
CCUACGGGUGGCAGCAGUGGGGAAUAUUGGACAAUGGGGGCAACCCUGAUCCAGCCAUGCCGCGUGUGUGAAGAAGGCCCUCGGGUUGUAAAGCACUUUCAGUGAGGAAGAACGCCUGGUGGUUAAUACCCAUCAGGAAAGACAUCACUCACAGAAGAAGCACCGGCUAACUCCGUGCCAGCAGCCGCGGUAAUACGGAGGGUGCGAGCGUUAAUCGGAAUUACUGGGCGUAAAGCGCGCGUAGGUGGCUUGAUAAGCCGGUUGUGAAAGCCCCGGGCUCAACCUGGGAACGGCAUCCGGAACUGUCAAGCUAGAGUGCAGGAGAGGAAGGUAGAAUUCCCGGUGUAGCGGUGAAAUGCGUAGAGAUCGGGAGGAAUACCAGUGGCGAAGGAGGCCUUCUGGACUGACACUGACACUGAGGUGCGAAAGCGUGGGUAGCAAACAGGAUUAGAUACCCGAGUAGUC